GUCUUUUUGGGAAUAAUUUAAAGUCUAAUCUGCCCACUGAAUUAUUUUAAAGGGCUGCAGUAUAUUGACUGUACAAAGGUAGCAUAAUCAUUAGUCUUUUAAUUGAAGACUUGUAUGAAUGAUUUGAUGAAAUAUAAACUGUCUCUUUAUUAAAAAUAGAAUUUAAUUUUUUAGUUAAAAAGCUAAAAUUUAUUUAAAAGACGAGAAGACCCUAUAGAGUUUUAUAUUUAUAAUUAUAUUAAUUUUGUAUAAAAUUUUUAUUUAAUAUUUUUUUAAAUAUUUUAUUGGGGUGAUAGAAAAAUUUGAUAAACUUUUUUUAAAAAUUUUACAUUAAUAUAUGAAAUUUUGAUCCAUAAUUUAUGAUUAAAAGAUUAAAUUACCUUAGGGAUAACAGCGUAAUUUUUUUUUUUAGUUCUUAUAAGAAAAAAAGUUUGCGACCUCGAUGUUGGAUUAAGAUAAAAUUUAGAUGCAAAAGUUUAAAAUUUUGAUCUGUUCGAUCAUUAAAAUCUU
Molecule: ribosomal RNA, 510 nt
Filed under: Pieris davidis
Lineage: Eukaryota; Metazoa; Arthropoda; Insecta; Lepidoptera; Pieridae
Description: partial 16S ribosomal RNA
Rfam family: Bacterial large subunit ribosomal RNA (bases 387-510)
Source: RNAcentral